UACGUAGGGGGCAAGCGUUGUCCGGAAUCAUUGGGCGUAAAGCGCGCGUAGGCGGCCCUGUAAGUCCGUUGUGAAAGUCGGGGGCUCAACCCUCGAAAGCCGGUGGAUACUGUCGGGCUCGAGUGCGGAAGAGGCGAGUGGAAUUCCUGGUGUAGCGGUGAAAUGCGCAGAUAUCAGGAGGAACACCGAUUGCGAAGGCAGCUCGCUGGGACGUUACUGACGCUGAGACGCGAAAGCGUGGGGAGCGAACAGG
Molecule: ribosomal RNA, 253 nt
Filed under: uncultured bacterium
Lineage: Bacteria
Description: partial 16S ribosomal RNA
Rfam family: Bacterial small subunit ribosomal RNA
Source: RNAcentral